Molecule: long non-coding RNA, 1216 nt
Filed under: Equus caballus (horse)
Lineage: Eukaryota; Metazoa; Chordata; Mammalia; Perissodactyla; Equidae
Description: lncRNA (ENSECAG00000042659.2)
Source: RNAcentral
AUAAAAGAAAGGUCAACUCAGAAACAGAGAGUAGAAAAGCAGUUGCCAGAGCUGUGGGGUGGGAGGAAUAGGGAGAGGCAGGUAAAAGGGGACGAAGUUUCAGCUCUGAGAUCAAGAAGCUCUGAGGAUCUCACGUCUGAUGUGGUGACUAGAGUCAAGAACACUGAAUUGUAUAAUUGACAUCAGCUAAGAGAGCAGCACUUCAGUGUCCUCACACACACACAGUCAAUAAGUGAGGUGAAAACAACAAUCAGAGUUGAGGACAGAGGAGAAUCAGGGUAUGAAUCCCUGGGAACCAGCCCAAAUUGCCAGGAGAACUUCAGACUUUCAAAGGCCAUGAGAUAGGUGGGUUCAAACCAAGAAUCCAGGAGACGCAGGGAACCGGGUGACAUCUGGCUUCCAGGUGGAAGGAAUACAAAACUAGCUAAGGUCUAGAAGGCCCAGGAGGGUGGAGGGAGGCAGUUGUAGGUCAGUUGGUGGCGGAGGGGCUGUGGUCCAAUCUGCUUCCCUGCUGUCCCCUCCCCCCCCUCAGAAGCCCUUGUGACACGGCCACAGUUCCAUGAUGAGGACGUGGGGUUCUAAUCUCCAAGUCACUCCCAGUGCUCAGUUGCCUGAGAGUAGAACUGUAUUUGAGAUAUGGAAACUCCUAUCUUAUAUGUAAAAAGCAUUGUUGCUACCUGGUUGAGCUCCAGUUCCACUUCCUGGGUGAUUGGGACCAUCCUCUGCAUCCUGUGUGGACUGGGGCUCUUCCUCCUGUUCCUUCCCUCCAUAGGAAUUCGUCCUUACAACCACCUUACAAAAGGAGAAAGGUCAGGAAGCAUCAAGUGGAGCCGAGAGGGAGGAGCAGCAGGAACAGGAAGAAAAGGGAAGCUUUGAAAGCUCACAGAGCUGGCCGGAAGGACCUGGCAGAAGUGGGGGGCCUGAUGUCCUUUUCGUAAAGCACACAGGGAAGAGGCCAUCUGAGGACACAACCAGAAGGAGGUCCUCUACAAGCCAGGAAGACAGCCUUCUCCAGAAAUCAACCUGAUGGCACCUUGAUCUUUGACUUCCAGCCACCAGAACUCUGAGAAAAUGAAUUUCUGUUGUUUGAACCACCUGGUCUGUUGUAUUUCAUUAUGGCAGCCCAAGCAGAGUAAUACAGAAGGCCAGGCCCCUAGAUCCUGGAAAAGUCUUGCUCUUUGCUGAGGUGCCUGUUAAAAUUUAAUGUAUUCAUGAG